This 479-nucleotide ribosomal RNA is filed under the name uncultured bacterium. Its description in RNAcentral is "partial 16S ribosomal RNA". It matches the Rfam family "Bacterial small subunit ribosomal RNA", at positions 28 to 523 of the family's 1533-position model. The record is from RNAcentral.
GACGAACGCUGGCGGCGUGCUUAACACAUGCAAGUCGAACGGUAAGGCCCUUCGGGGGUACACGAGUGGCGAAAGGGUGAGUAACACGUGGGCGAUCUGCCCUGCACUUCGGGAUAAGCCUGGGAAACUGGGUCUAAUACCGGAUAGGACUCCUGGCCUCAUGGGUGGGGGUGGAAAGCUUUUGCGGUGUGGGAUGGGCCCGCGGCCUAUCAGCUUGUUGGUGGGGUAAUGGCCGACCAAGGCGACGACGGGUGGCCGGCCUGAGAGGGUGACGGGUCACACUGGGACUGAGAUACGGCCCAGACUCCUACGGGAGGCAGCAGUGGGGAAUAUUGCACAAUGGGCGCAAGCCUGAUGCAGCGACGCCGCGUGAGGGAUGACGGCCUUCGGGUUGUAAACCUCUUUCAGCUAUGACGAAGCGCAAGUGACGGUAGUAGCAGAAGAAGGACCGGCCAACUACGUGCCAGCAGCCGCCGUAA